Molecule: ribosomal RNA, 381 nt
Filed under: uncultured soil bacterium
Lineage: Bacteria
Description: bacterial SSU rRNA
Rfam family: Bacterial small subunit ribosomal RNA
Source: RNAcentral
AGAUUGAACGCUGGCGGCAUGCCUUACACAUGCAAGUCGAACGGCAGCACGGGAGCAAUCCUGGUGGCGAGUGGCGAACGGGUGAGUAAUACAUCGGAACGUGCCCAAUCGUGGGGGAUAACGCAGCGAAAGCUGUGCUAAUACCGCAUAAGAUCUACGGAUGAAAGCAGGGGAUCGCAAGACCUUGCGCGAAUGGAGCGGCCGAUGGCAGAUUAGGUAGUUGGUGAGGUAAAGGCUCACCAAGCCUUCGAUCUGUAGCUGUCUGAGAGGACGACCAGCCACACUGGGACUGAGACACGGCCCAGACUCCUACGGGAGGCAGCAGUGGGGGAAUUUUGGACAAUGGGACGAAAGCCUGGAUCCAGCCAUGCCGCGUGCAGG